GUAGCUAUGGGGGAGGUACCAUGAUCGUGAAGGUGGUUUUCCUGGGAUAAGAUUUACGCAUUGCACUCCAGUUAUCCUGACCUCUGAGAUUUGUCAAAUGUGGGAAACUCGACUAUAUAACUUGUGGUAGUGGUGGACUACAUUCCUGCUCUGCCC
This 156-nucleotide small nuclear RNA is filed under the name Ochotona princeps (American pika). Its description in RNAcentral is "U1 spliceosomal RNA (ENSOPRG00000017565.1)". It matches the Rfam family "U1 spliceosomal RNA". Rfam says of the family: U1 is a small nuclear RNA (snRNA) component of the spliceosome (involved in pre-mRNA splicing). Its 5' end forms complementary base pairs with the 5' splice junction, thus defining the 5' donor site of an intron. Lineage: Eukaryota; Metazoa; Chordata; Mammalia; Lagomorpha; Ochotonidae. The record is from RNAcentral.